Molecule: long non-coding RNA, 490 nt
Filed under: Selaginella moellendorffii
Lineage: Eukaryota; Viridiplantae; Streptophyta; Lycopodiopsida; Selaginellales; Selaginellaceae
Description: long non-coding RNA (SMOE_LNC000784)
Source: RNAcentral
CCUUCGUCACCAAGAACUAUAGACGACUUGCGGGAAGCGUCUGUGCCACCUCAAAGCCACUCGCCAGGAACUAUCGACGACUUGCGAGAAGUGUCCGUGCCACCUCUCAGUCACUCGCCUACAGCUGCUAGAGAUUCUCCACAAGCUCCUUGGUCGCCAGGAACUAUAGACGACUUGCGGGAAGCGUCUGUGCCACCCCAAAGCCACUCGCCAGGAACUAUCGACGACUUGCGAGAAGUGUCCGUGCCACCUCUCAGUCACUCGCCUACAGCUGCUAGAGAUUCUCCACAAGCUCCUUGGUCGCCAGGAACUAUAGACGACUUGCGGGAAGCGUCUGUGCCACCUCAAAGCCACUCGCCAGGAACUAUCGACGACUUGCGAGAAGUGUCCGUGCCACCUCUCAGUUACUCGCCUACAGCUGCUAGAGAUUCUCCACAAGCUCCUUGGUCGCCAGGAACUAUAGACAACUUGCAAGAAGUGUCCGUGCCAC